Molecule: ribosomal RNA, 460 nt
Filed under: uncultured bacterium
Lineage: Bacteria
Description: partial 16S ribosomal RNA
Rfam family: Bacterial small subunit ribosomal RNA
Source: RNAcentral
CCUACGGGGGGCAGCAGUGAGGAAUAUUGGUCAAUGGACGAGAGUCUGAACCAGCCAAGUAGCGUGAAGGAUGACUGCCCUAUGGGUUGUAAACUUCUUUUAUAUGGGAAUAAAACGUUCCACGUGUGGGGUUUUGUAUGUACCAUAUGAAUAAGGAACGGCUAACUCCGUGCCAGCAGCCGCGGUUAUACGGAGGAUCCGAGCGUUAUCCGGAUUUAUUGGGUUUAAAGGGAGCGUAUGUGGAUUGUUAAGGCAGUUGUGAAAGUUUGCGGCUCAACCGUAAAAUUGCAGUUGAAACUGGCAGUCUUGAGUACAGUAGAGGUGGGCGGAAUUCGUGGUGUAGCGGUGAAAUGCGUAGAUAUCACGAAGAACGCCGAUUGCGAAGGCAGUUCACUGGACUGCAACUGACACUGAGGCUCGAAAGUGUGGGUAUCGAACAGGAUUAGAUACCCCUGUAGUC